This 353-nucleotide ribosomal RNA is filed under the name Gonioctena olivacea. Its description in RNAcentral is "partial 16S large subunit ribosomal RNA". Lineage: Eukaryota; Metazoa; Arthropoda; Insecta; Coleoptera; Chrysomelidae. The record is from RNAcentral.
CUGAAAAUUUGAAUGGCCGUGGUAUUUUGACCGUGCUAAGGUAGCAUAAUCAUUAGUUUUUUAAUUAAAAACUGGAAUGAAGGGUUAGAUAAGAAAAUAACUGUCUCUAUUUAAUUUUAUUAGAAUUUUAUUUUUAAGUUAAAAAGCUUAAUUAAUAUUAAAAGACGAGAAGACCCUAUAGAGUUUAAUUUUAAAAUAAAUUUUUUAUUUUAGUAUUUUUUUAUUCAUUUUUUUUUAUAAUUUAAUUGGGGUGAUUAAAAAAUUUAAUUAACUUUUUUUGUAUUUUAACAUUAAUGUAUGAUUUAUUGAUCCAAUUUUUUUGAUUAUAAGAUAAAAUUACCUUAGGGAUAACA